UUGUGUGUGAGGAGAAAACUCAAAAAGCGUCUGGGGUGGAAACACGGCAACACUCCCGGACGCUUUUUGAU
Non-coding RNA from Anabaena sp. CRKS33, 71 nucleotides. The record is from Rfam. NCBI's taxonomy places the organism in Bacteria, Bacillati, Cyanobacteriota, Cyanophyceae, Nostocales, Nostocaceae.